Long non-coding RNA from Plodia interpunctella (Indianmeal moth), 654 nucleotides. RefSeq lists it as uncharacterized. NCBI's taxonomy places the organism in Eukaryota, Metazoa, Arthropoda, Insecta, Lepidoptera, Pyralidae. The record is from RefSeq and is a predicted model, not a curated record. The transcript is spliced from 3 exons.
UAAAAAUGUGGGCGUGGAAUUAUUUUUCCUUUCGAAAGUUUAUUGUGUGAUAUCGAAAUGUGUUCUACCUUAGGAACGUAUUACGGAACCUACGGGCAUUGCACGGAUUCGUAAUGUAGUCGUUCACCUGUAAUUCAGUCAUGUCUAUUGGUCCAGACAUAAUAUAAUAUAAUUGUAAAAUCUGCACAGAAGAGCAUCUUCAUACCUCGACUACAUAAAGGCAAGCUACGGUUGUGAUCAAAUGUGAAAGAUCCCGGGUUCAAAUCCUACUCGUGCUAUAAGAGUUUGUAUACUAAUCUGACUUAUAUAUAGUUGCUUUAAUAAACUAUUAAUUGGUACCGGUGGAUAAAAAUAUCGUGAAGAAACUUGCACAAUUGUUGACAGUUUAAGUUCAAUAGUGUGUAUGCGAUUAUUUGCUACUAGUCGGAUGCCGUUAGGCGACUUGAAUAAAAUCUUCCACCAGUGUAAUUAACACACUCGAAAAGAAGGAAAUCAAGGUGCUGCAGAAUUAUUAUUUUUUUACAAGCCUUUAUGUAGUAUUUUAAAUAAUGCAACUUAAUUUUGAAUCAGAUAUUUUAGUGCUAUGUUUUAAAUUAUCACGAAAAUAAUUAAACUAUUUAAUGAUUAUAUGUUACUUGUGAAAUAAUGUAUAUA